AGUGAACGCUGGCGGUAGGCCUAACACAUGCAAGUCGAACGGCAGCACCGUAAGAGCUUGCUCUUACGGGUGGCGAGUGGCGGACGGGUGAGGUAUACAUCGUACUCUACUUUUUCGUGGGGGAUAACGUAGGGAAACUUACGAUAAUACCGCAUACCACCUACCGUUGAAAGCAGUGGAUCUUCGGACCUUGCGGGAUUGAAUGAGCCGAUGUCGGAGUAGCUAGUUGGCGGGCUAAUUGCCCACCAAGGCGACGAUCCGUAGCUGGUCUGAGAGGAUGAUCGGCCACACUGGAACUGAGACACGGUCCAGACUCCUACGGGAGGCAGCAGUGGGGAAUAUUGGACAGUGGGCGCAAGCCUGAUCCAGCCAUACCGCGUGGGUGAAGAAGGCCUUCGGGUUGUAAAGCCCUUUUGUUGGGAAAGAAAAGCAGCAGGUUAAUACCCCGCUGUUCUGACGGUACCCAAAGAAUAAGCACCGGCUAACUUCGUG
RNAcentral lists this ribosomal RNA (492 nucleotides) under uncultured bacterium. Its description in RNAcentral is "partial 16S ribosomal RNA". It matches the Rfam family "Bacterial small subunit ribosomal RNA", at positions 29 to 507 of the family's 1533-position model. The record is from RNAcentral.